CUCGGAGUCUUUACUUUAUGUUCAAGCCCGACCCACAUCUUUCAAAACCCUAGUCAUCGUAGCGCCUCUGCUCCUCCUUCCUCCUCCCUCCUCCUCCUCUUCCUCGAGCGAUCUUCAAGCUUUCGAAGGGCAAGAUGAGCAGCCGUGCGAGCAGGACUGUUUACGUUGGGAACCUACCCGGCGACAUCCGCGAGAGAGAAGUGGAGGACUUGUUCCGCAAGUAUGGACCGAUAGCACACAUUGAUCUGAAGAUACCACCCAGGCCUCCUGGUUAUGCAUUUGUUGAGUUUGAAGAUGCUCGAGAUGCUGAAGAUGCCAUCCAUGGUCGUGAUGGCUAUGAUUUUGAUGGGCAUCGUUUAAGGGUGGAGCUUGCUCAUGGUGGUCGCGGGCACUCAUCAUCAUCUGAUCGCCACAGUAGUCAUGGUGGUGGUCGGGGUUCACGUGGAGUAUCGAGGCACUCUGAAUUUAGAGUCCUGGUUAGUGGGCUACCAUCUUCAGCUUCAUGGCAAGAUCUUAAGGAUCACAUGCGUCGAGGAGGAGAUGUCUGCUUCUCACAGGUUUUUCGUGAUAGUAAUGGCACAACAGGGGUCGUGGACUAUACCAACUAUGAAGACAUGAAGUAUGCAAUAAAGAAACUCGAUGAUUCAGAGUUCAGAAAUGCCUUUUCCCGGUCAUAUAUUCGGGUUAAGGAAUAUGAUUCAAAGCGCGAGUCAUCAAGAAGUCCUAGAGGCCGGAGCUAUAGUCGCAGUCCUCGCAGUCCCAGCCGCAGUCGUAGCAGGAGUGUGAGCAAGUCUCCGAAAACCAAAAGUACACGGCGUUCACCUGCAAAGUCUCGAUCUCCUUCACACUCCCGCUCUAAGUCACCUUCCUUAUCAGGAUAUGGAUAUGGAUAUGGAUAAAUGCGGCAAACUGGGGAUUCAAUAUUAGGAUCUUGGUGGGAUAUGGUUCAGUUGCCUGCAACUAUAUGGUUGUGGAGAUUGGGAACAAAGGAGAUCAUGGAAUAACAGAGCUGGAUUCUGUGAACUAGUUCCAUUGGGAUCUACUUCAAGAAGUCUCGAGCUAAUAGGAUGACUAUCUGGACUCCUUUGGAUUGUUUUGAUCGCGUUCAAGAUCCAGAUCACCAUUGCCUUCUGUGAUAGGAUUGCGGGGCUAGCUGAAUGUGGACCUUGAAAGAUGUGACCCAAAUGGAGCAUUCAACUUAGCUUUAAUAAAUCAUCGUUAUAAUUGGAAAACCAGGUGUUAGCUUUCUGAAAGACUUCAAUAUCAUGACGGUUCCUGAGUGUGUCAACUGUGCUGUUAAUUACUUUAUAGAACUCAUUUAGUUUCCAUGAAUUUGAACUUGGUUCUUGAGUAUGCUGCUUGUAAGAGAUUUGAACGGUAUUUAUCUUUUCUGAACUGCAUAUAUUUCUAGUUUCGUGAGAUUGUGGAA
Syzygium oleosum is the source of this 1429-nucleotide RNA transcript. It is a transcript of the gene named serine/arginine-rich-splicing factor SR34, with no coding region annotated. Lineage: Eukaryota; Viridiplantae; Streptophyta; Magnoliopsida; Myrtales; Myrtaceae. The transcript is spliced from 15 exons. The record is from RefSeq and is a predicted model, not a curated record.